RNAcentral lists this long non-coding RNA (414 nucleotides) under Zea mays. RNAcentral's name for it is "long non-coding RNA (ZMAY_LNC004407)". The record is from RNAcentral. Lineage: Eukaryota; Viridiplantae; Streptophyta; Magnoliopsida; Poales; Poaceae.
UGUAGCGUGUUUCAUCAAGAUCCAAGCAGCGCAUGAGCUGUUGAUUCAUGAUGAAAGGAGAAGGGCAUAUGAUAGAGAGCAUCAUGUGAACCCGAUGAAGGUCUUAUAAUUUUCUUAGCCACUCAUGUUAUCAUUUCAUUUUGUGCAAGAUGCAGUUCCACUCCAGUUUUGUUCUUAUUUGUAGUUAACUUUUGUUGGUUUCUAAGUUUAGGAUUUAAUCCAUGUGGAAUAAAUGAAUAAACAUAGCUGCUUGGAUUGCUCAGGUUAUUUUGCUACAUAAUUGCUCUGAUAGUGUCCCUCUAUUGUGUUUCAGAUUACCACCGUAUCAUGAUUCAUCAGCUCUAACAUGCCUGAGCCAACACUAUGCUUCUCCACUUCAGGACAUGGAUAUGACUCUUCUAUGUUUAAGCCACG